CGUAGGGAGCAAGCGUUGUCCGGAAUUACUGGGCGUAAAGGGCGCGUAGGUGGGCGCUUAAGUCAGGUGUGAAAACUCCGGGCUCAACCUGGAGACUGCACUUGAAACUGGGUGUCUUGAGGGCAGGAGAGGAAAGUGGAAUUCCUAGUGUAGCGGUGAAAUGCGUAGAUAUUAGGAGGAACACCAGUGGCGAAGGCGACUUUCUGGACUGUACCUGACGCUGAGGCGCGAAAGCGUGGGUAGCGAA
This 247-nucleotide ribosomal RNA is filed under the name uncultured bacterium. RNAcentral describes it as "partial 16S ribosomal RNA". It matches the Rfam family "Bacterial small subunit ribosomal RNA", at positions 526 to 772 of the family's 1533-position model. The record is from RNAcentral.